RNAcentral lists this ribosomal RNA (111 nucleotides) under Caerostris darwini. The record is from RNAcentral. Lineage: Eukaryota; Metazoa; Arthropoda; Arachnida; Araneae; Araneidae.
ACGGCCAUACCAUGCUGAAUAUACCGGUUCUCGUUAGAUCACCGAAGUCAAGCAUCAUUGGGCGAGGUCAGUACUUGGGUGGGUGACCACCUGGGAACACCGCGUGCCGUU